AACACGGACCAAGGAGUCCUGUGCGCGCGCGAGUCCCCGGGACUUGAUUAGGCCCGAGGGCGCAAUGAAAGUAAAAGUCGUCUCCGGCGACCGAGUCGGGAUGGCUCUAAUUAUAAAGAGCCCGCACCGACGGCCCGUCUUUUGCGGUGACGUAUAGGCGGAGCUAGAGCGCGCGCCCUGGGACCCGAAAGAUGGUGACCUAUGCCCGGACAGGACGAAGCCAGAGGAAACUCUGGUGGAGGUCCGUAGCGGUUCUGACGUGCAAAUCGAUCGUCGGAUCUGGGCAUAGCAGCGAAAGACUCAUCGAACCGUCUAGUAGCUGUUUCCCUCCGAA
RNAcentral lists this ribosomal RNA (334 nucleotides) under Withiidae sp. Ta. RNAcentral describes it as "partial large subunit ribosomal RNA". It matches the Rfam family "Eukaryotic large subunit ribosomal RNA", at positions 658 to 965 of the family's 3401-position model. Lineage: Eukaryota; Metazoa; Arthropoda; Arachnida; Pseudoscorpiones; Withiidae. The record is from RNAcentral.